AGCAGCCGCGGUAAUUCCAGCUCCAAUAGCGUAUAUUAAAGUUGUUGCAGUUAAAAAGCUCGUAGUUGAAUUUCGGGAUUGACACAUCGGUCGUGCCUUAAGGGGUAUGAACUGGUGUAGUCAAUUUCUCACCUUCUGGAGAACCGCGAUGCCCUUAAUUGGGUGUCACGGGGAACCAGGACCUUUACUUUGAAAAAAUUAGAGUGUUUAAAGCAGGCAUUUAUGCUUGAAUACAUUAGCAUGGAAUAAUAGAAUAGGACGGCAUGGUUCUAUUUUGUUGGUUUCUAGGAUCACCGUAAUGAUUAAUAGGGAUAGUUGGGGGCAUUAGUAUUCAAUUGUCAGAGGUGAAAUUCUUGGAUUUAUUGAAGACUAACUACUGCGAAAGCAUUUGCCAAGGAUGUUUUCAUUAAUCAAGAACGAAAGUUAGGGGAUCGAAGACGAUCAGAUACC
Molecule: ribosomal RNA, 450 nt
Filed under: uncultured Glomeromycotina
Lineage: Eukaryota; Fungi; Glomeromycota
Description: SSU rRNA
Rfam family: Eukaryotic small subunit ribosomal RNA
Source: RNAcentral